This 395-nucleotide ribosomal RNA is filed under the name Escherichia coli. RNAcentral describes it as "partial 23S ribosomal RNA". It matches the Rfam family "Bacterial large subunit ribosomal RNA", at positions 419 to 816 of the family's 2925-position model. Lineage: Bacteria; Pseudomonadati; Pseudomonadota; Gammaproteobacteria; Enterobacterales; Enterobacteriaceae. The record is from RNAcentral.
GGGACACGUGGUAUCCUGUCUGAAUAUGGGGGGACCAUCCUCCAAGGCUAAAUACUCCUGACUGACCGAUAGUGAACCAGUACCGUGAGGGAAAGGCGAAAAGAACCCCGGCGAGGGGAGUGAAAAAGAACCUGAAACCGUGUACGUACAAGCAGUGGGAGCCUCUUUUAUGGGGUGACUGCGUACCUUUUGUAUAAUGGGUCAGCGACUUAUAUUCUGUAGCAAGGUUAACCGAAUAGGGGAGCCGAAGGGAAACCGAGUCUUAACUGGGCGUUAAGUUGCAGGGUAUAGACCCGAAACCCGGUGAUCUAGCCAUGGGCAGGUUGAAGGUUGGGUAACACUAACUGGAGGACCGAACCGACUAAUGUUGAAAAAUUAGCGGAUGACUUGUGGCU